This 355-nucleotide ribosomal RNA is filed under the name uncultured bacterium. RNAcentral's name for it is "bacterial SSU rRNA". It matches the Rfam family "Bacterial small subunit ribosomal RNA", at positions 28 to 384 of the family's 1533-position model. The record is from RNAcentral.
AUUGAACGCUGGCGGCAUGCUUUACACAUGCAAGUCGAGCGGCAGCGCGGGGGCAACCCUGGCGGCGAGCGGCGAACGGGUGAGUAAUACAUCGGAACGUGUCCCGUAGUGGGGGAUAGCCCGGCGAAAGCCGGAUUAAUACCGCAUAUGCUCUACGGAGGAAAGUGGGGGACUCGCAAGGGCCUCACGCUAUGGGAGCGGCCGAUGUCCGAUUAGCUUGUUGGCGGGGAAUGGCCCACCAAGGCGACGAUCGGUAGCUGGUCUGAGAGGAUGAUCAGCCACACUGGGACUGAGACACGGCCCAGACUCCUACGGGAGGCAGCAGUGGGGAAUUUUGGACAAUGGGGGAAACCCU